GUUGAACGCUGGCGGAAUGCUUUACACAUGCAAGUCGAACGGCAGCACGGACUUCGGUCUGGUGGCGAGUGGCGAACGGGUGAGUAAUGUAUCGGAACGUGCCCAGUCGUGGGGGAUAACGUAGUGAAAAUUACGCUAAUACCGCAUACGAUCUAUGGAUGAAAGCGGGGGAUCGCAAGACCUCGCGCGAUUGGAGCGGCCGAUAUCAGAUUAGGUAGUUGGUGGGGUAAAGGCCAACAAAGCCAACGAUCUGUAGCUGGUCUGAGAGGACGACCAGCCACACUGGAACUGAGACACGGUCCAGACUCCUACGGGAGGCAGCAGUGGGGAAUUUUGGACAAUGGGCGAAAGCCUGAUCCAGCCAUUCCGCGUGCAGGAUGAAGGCCCUCGGGUUGUAAACUGCUUUUGUACAGAACGAAAAGGUUUCUACUAAUACUAGGAGCUCAUGACGGUACUGUAAGAAUAAGCACCGGCUAACUACGUGCCAGCCGCCGCCGUAA
Molecule: ribosomal RNA, 500 nt
Filed under: uncultured bacterium
Lineage: Bacteria
Description: partial 16S ribosomal RNA
Rfam family: Bacterial small subunit ribosomal RNA
Source: RNAcentral